CACACACAGUUACAUCUCAUCUUCAACUAUCCGUCAACAAAAAAAAAAUCAAAUGUGCUUCACAUUUCUCAAACAGCAGAGAAAAAUAAAUACUUACUGUCUAGCCUCAUCAUUAUGAAGUUUGUGUGACUUGUUAUAAAUUUUGACAGGAAGCAAUUCCACAACUUCAUUAGGAGCGGGAACAGAUCCAAUUGAAGAUACAGAAGGUCGAGAAGAUAAAACCACAGACUGCUGGGGGAUUUCAUCCAGACCCUAGUUAAAAUGCAUAGAAAUUAACUCCAACAGAUAGGUGCAAAGAGAAAGAAGAACUACCCAGACUAAUAACAUAAGAAAUAAAAAUUACCUCAAAAAAAGCUUCAGCUAACAUAACGAUUCUGGAUAGACUAGCCCUAGCACUUGUCUCAUCAUUUGAAUUGGAAUCUCGAUUAUUUACACAUGUGAAACAAAUAAUGGCAAAACAGUUAAACACACCACACUCCAAAACAGAUAAUGGCAAAGAUUCAAAUGAUAGACCCGUAAUUCCAAACCAAAAGUUGUGUAAAAACAAUAAUGGCAAAGAUUCAAAUGAGAAGAAUCUUUAGGAGAAGAGAAACAAAUUUUAACUAAUGAAUCCCAGAAACACUUCCCCGAGGCCCAUAAUAAUUUCAUUAACCAACCUUAAUAAAAACCACUUAAACAGACAGACCCACAACAAUAGAUUUCAAACAAAGACUGAAACAGUGAGUUCUACAAUAGAAAGGUUAGGGAUUAUCCCUAACGAAAGUAGACAAUAAAACAACCAAAAAGAAACAGACAGACCGACAUCAAUAGAUUUCACACACAGAGCGAAAACAGGGGAUUUCAUUAUCACCAAAAAAAAAAAAAAAAAGAAAGAAACGGCAGACAAAAUCUUUGGGUUUCUCCCUCUCACGAAAAAGAAUGAGGGGAAAUAUUGAAAUGAGACAGAGAGAGAGAAAGAGAUAAUGGGAAGGAAGUGGGAUAUGAAAAGUCCGAAGAAAACCGUCACUGCCCAAAAAGAAUAGACUUUCUAAUUCCCCAUGUGGCAACGGUAACAUUUAUGGUAAUUAAUACCUUAAUUAAAUUACUAAUUUGGGGGGGGAUUUAAAGACAUAGAAGGUAAAGAGACGUUAGGGAAAAGGAGGGGGCAAUGGGAGAUAAUAAAUGAGAAAUAAAUAUGAAAAAUGCUUUCAUUCCCAAUUAACAGACAGAGAAGUAAAAGAAACGUUAGAAAAAAAAGGGAAAGGAAAGAAGAGACUUUACUUUGGUCAGACCAAAGACUACAAACCUGAACCAACGACACCCCAAACCCACACAGUUUAACACACCACACUUCAAAACAGAUGAUGGCAAAGAUUCAAAUGAUCGACCCGUAAUUCCAAACCAAAAGUUGUGUAAAAACGAUAAUGGAAAAGAUUCAAAUGAGAAGAAUCUUUAGGAGAAGAGAAAUAAGCAACUUUGAAACAAAGGCACAAAUUCUUACCUGGGAGUCGAUCUGAGCCAAAACCCAACAAACGAAGCGGUGGAGUUUUAUUGCCCGAGAUACAUCAGGAGGAGAGAGAUUGAAAUCAAGGUUAUUCAUAAAUCCUAAACCAAAACCUAAGAGAUCCCAAGCCCCAAACACUGAAACAAAAGCCCAAAAACACCAGCCCAACCCUAAACCCAAGCCCCAAGCCUCAAACCCCUAGACCCAAGCUGGGAUAUCCCAGGAAUGAGAUAUCCCAACCGGAUAACUACGGCAGGUAGCCCGGUCCAAACACGUUAAAAAUAUGAACCGGCAUCCAAAACUGCUGAACCGGGCACCAAAAAUAUUGAACCGAGACAGCAUAUGAAGGGAAUAAUAUUGGAAUAGCUUAUCCUGGUACGGGAUAUGACAGGGAUAUCCCUGAUUCAGAGUAAUAAUGAAAAUAAAUUCAGGGCUUAUCAAAGAAACCAAUUUUAUAAUAAGUACGAUAAAUUUUCUUUCAAAUUUAUAAAAAAAAAAAUCUUUUAAAAUUUAUUCAAUAAUAAUAAUAGAUAAUAAAUAUAAAUUCGUCAAGGAAUCCAUAAGCAACAUACUUAAAAGACGAAAAACACAUUCAAUUGAAUACAUAGAUGAUGUUGGACUAAUAUGCAAUUUAUGUACCAAAAUUUACUCCCAAAACGAAAAUAUUUAUCACAUAUCCAAAGUUCUAUUAAGAAUAAACCAUCACCUAGAAUACCAGGGAGACCCAAAUUCAUUAAAAUAUAUGCAUGUAUCUAAAUAGGACAAGAAUAUAAGAUGAAUGAUUUAAUCAAUAGUUAAGGUAGAAAAUUGAGAAAAAAAGACUUACCCAGAAGUACUACUGAAUUAGAUAGCAAUAUUUUCCAGAUAUGAAGAAGAAAAUUGCAUGGAAGCAGCUAAAAACCCUCGGUUUUAUUAAACUUCCAUUGUUAACCAAAUAGGAUUUUAAAUAUAAGGCUAGGUAACACAGAUGAAUAUAACUCUAUCUUUAACCAAAAUCUGAGUAUUUCACCACAUGGAUAUAUCAAUAAUCACACAAAACUUCCCAUUCAGCUGAUAUACAGAAAUACCAUGGGUCUACCUAAAGCUUCCAAUCAAAAUCCAUUUGCAAAUCUUACCCAACAGAACACGAACAAUCCCAACUAUUUUAAAGAAAAUAUACCCAAUCCUUACUGAUGAAUGCAACCACCUAGCAGUAUGAAAAAGAAAACAUAUAUGCAUACACGAAUCUUGACAAUCUCCAUCGUAUAUGAUCAUGAAACCCAAAUCGACAAAAACCUUUGCAAUUAGCAAAUCGGUUGAAAUCUCCAAUUCCUCAAUUACUAUCAAUAUUAACAAGCAUCCCAAUUAGAUUAUUCUUAUUUUUUAAAACUAAUGUACAGAUUUUUUGAGAACUAAGAAACAGAAUGUCCCAAUCUGGAAUCCUAUAUGCCGGUUUUGAUCGUUUAGUGGGUACUUCGCAUUUCUAUAAAGAAUGGAACACUAUUGAAAUAAUUAUAUAUGCAUUAUUUAAAUUUCUGCAAAACAAUUAAAAUAUUUCUAAAAAUAUUCUUAUAAAUAUUAAAUUGGAUCCGACCUGGUUUACCAUUUAAUAUAAAGGAGUUAACAUAAAGAUCGUUUCGGUGAUUGUAAACUUUAUUGAAAAAACAAUAAUUAAAUCCUAAUAAUAUUUGUUCAUGUAUCUGUCGUUUUUUUUAAACACCUACUUUUUUUUAAUUUAGGUCACCUAUUUAGAAAAUCCUAAUAAAUAACCAACUGAUAUAGCAUAAAACAACCACAAAGUAACUCACAGACCACAUCAAUAAAUUUCAAACACAUAGCAAAAACAACAAAACACAAGUAAAAAAGCAUAAAUCUUAAAUUAAAACAGAGAAAGCCAAAGACAAUGUUGAAGCAAAGAUUCAUACCUGAAAUCAGCCUCCGAUGAAGCAGGGGUUACAAAAAUCGCAACAAAGAAAUGGCAGAGAAAUAAACCCACUGAAAUAUAAGUAAAAAAAAAAUUGAUCUGAAACCAAAACAGAAAUGAAAAGGCAAAGACAGACAAAGUUCAAGAUUCAUACCUCAAAAUCAGUCUCCGAUGAAGCAGGGGAUUUCAAAAACCACAAAAAACAGAGUGUACCGUGUGUGUGUUUUGGCCUUUGGUUACCCAAAGCUAAAAAAUUUAGAGGAAAAAAAAUUCAAAAGAGACCGAGAGAGAGAAUAGGUAAACAAAUGGGAGGAGAUUUGGAUUGAAGAGAUAUAUUUGAGGAUUUGUUAUGAAAGCAGAAGAAAUGAGGAAGAAAAAGAAAACAAAACAGGGAGACCAUGAGAGAGAGAGAGAGAGAAACGGCUUGAUAACAAAUAAUUUUUUUGUAUGAAUGCAGGUAACUUUGCUCAACUAUACAAAUAAAUAGAUGGUGGCGAAACAAGCACAGUAUUUUUUUCUUACCACCCAACAUUCUGGAAGAGGAAGCCUUAGAAGAUACCCCUCCGUGUUAAACUGAAAAGGAAAGUUUACCGAUUAGGAUGAUGUCAAUCUUCUUAGGAACAGGACAUUGUGAUGAUGUCAAAAGAAAAAUCAAGUUACACCCUAUGCAAUAAUAAUAGAUUUCUUUUUCUUCUGAGAGUAAUAACAAUAGUUACAAAUGCAAGCAUAACUCAGAUUAAUACUGUUGAUAGUACAAUCAAUAAACACAGUGAAUACUCCACCUAUCCAAUAAUUAAAAAUAUAUAUGUGCCAUCGAAACAGUAUAAGCUCCUUUGCAACGCCAUCGAAAGAAGAUAAACAUAUGUCACAAUAGCAACCAGUAGAAAAUAACAAAUCAACAAGACAAAUGCUUAGAAAUACAACGUAACAGACGGUGAACGGAAAAAUGGAAGUGAGAAAGAACAAGUGCAUCUGCAUGUAUGUUGCAGUGGGAGGAGAAUGCACCAUGCAUCACAACAAGUAAAAGAUGAGCAAGACAUGUAGAGGUUCCAAUGCCACAACAAAAUUGGAAAGGAGACCUAAUUUUUAUCGCACUUGGCAGCAAGUUGCAAGAAGUAUGGCAUGUUUAGGUCACCCAAUCAGGAUAUGAAGGGAUAUCCCCGGAGUAGAAUAAGAAAGAAAAUUAACCCAGUAUUUAAUGGCCACAUAGGCCCAGAACAAAAAGAACAAAGCAAAAUUUUCGAAAUCACCUCUGUGUCCAUUUGCAAGUUAAUGUGAUGGUUCUAAACUUGCCACCAGAGAUAACAAAUACUCCAGAACAGCUGUAACCCUAGCCUCAUGAAAGUCUGAAUGUAAUAACCAAAAGAUACUGGAAAUCUGAUCUGCAAACAUCAACAAAUACCACUGAGAAAGCACCCAAAAGAACUCAUUACAAUAAAAAAAAAGAUUUACCUUUGCCAAGUUCGAUAAUUGAAUCCAACCAAGUGGAUCACCGUAACAAUCUAAAAUUAUUAGAGCCAAAAAGAAAUUCACCGUUUAUCUGAUGAAGCGACGUCAAUUCCUUUGUUUUUCAGCAAAUCCAAAUAAAACGAUGGAUUCCGGGAAAAUGAAACGACGACAAGGCCUCUGCCAUAUAAUAACUAAAUAAUUACCCUAAUUUCAAGUUAAUAAAUGUUAACAAAACGGUUUUCCAAAAAGAAAAUAAAAGUUUCCUGCCAAAAUGGAGGAGAAGAGCUAAGAAAGCACGUAAAACACUUGUAAGGAAAAGGGAGAAGUGACAUGACAUGACAUUUCCUGCCAAAAUGUAAUAAAGGCCGAGAAGGAUGUUGAGGCACGCCAGUGAGGCAGUGACAGAGAAGCGAAAACCUGAUUGGAAAAGUAAUGCUUGUCCCGUUAUUGAUGUCUUAAUUAAACUUGAAGUACUUACUAUUUAACUUUUUGUUUAUUUAUAAUUAAAAUGGGUAACUAAAUUGUAUCUGUUGUGGUUCAGUGGUCCCUGCCCAGAAAGUUGAGCAUAUGGAGGAGAAUUUAGAAGGUAGUGAGUGUCCUGAACCAUACUGUGGACCGUCUCCUUGUCAGGCAUCCAUAUUAAUAGAAACAGAACAACCUACUUGGCCGGUGUAGAGGAGCGUACAUCAACAACUGCAGAUACUCCAGCUACAUGUGCAGAUGUAAAAGUAAAACUUGCUACAUGUACAUUCCCUUUUAUAUUAUCAGAACUCUUUUACUAAAGUUUCAUGUAAUUACAUAAAACCGAUCAUAAUAUGGAUUUAGAAAUGGUAAAAUGCAAAUUUAAUGAUGUGAGAUGAAUGUAGUGCAGCAGAGAAUUUUGAAUAUGAACACAAUAAAAAUAUGAACACCAAGAACAAGGAUACUUAAAUAUGUCAAACAAAAACUCAAACAUGACACAGAUCUACAAAUUGCAGAAGGUAAAUUUCAUCUUCUGAGAUCACUGUAAUAAGCUUAAAUUUGAAAAAGGAUAUGAACACCAAGAACAAAAAACUAUCUAAAGCAAAACAUCAACACCCUCAACAAAUCAAAACUUAUAUAAAUCCAGUUAUUAACAUGAAUACCUCAAACGCAAUUAUGAAACAAAAACACAACACGAUCAUGAUACCUUUAAAACACAAUUAUAACAAAAACAAAUCACGACCAUAAACAGCAUGGAAAGUUGGAGAGAAAUGGAUGCCAAGGAUGUAAUAUCAAACAAAAUGAAUUUUAUAAGAUCCAAUACAAAUUUGUCAUCACACAGGUGUAAAAGAGAGAAAAAAAACUGAUCAUUUCAUCAUCCAAUUUUAAACAUUUGAGAAAGGUAUAGGUUUUCUAUCUGGUGUGAAGUUGGUGUGACUUGUUAUAAAUUUUGACAGGAAGCAAUUCCACAACUUCCUUAGGAGCGGGAACAGAUCCAAUUGAAGAUACAGAAGGUCGAGAAGAUAAAACCACAGACUGCUGGGGGAUU
RNAcentral lists this long non-coding RNA (6345 nucleotides) under Gossypium barbadense (sea-island cotton). RNAcentral describes it as "long non-coding RNA (GBAR_LNC017476)". Lineage: Eukaryota; Viridiplantae; Streptophyta; Magnoliopsida; Malvales; Malvaceae. The record is from RNAcentral.